GACGUAGGGGGCCAGCGUUGUUCGGAAUUACUGGGCGUAAAGGGCGCGUAGGCGGUCAGCACAAGUCAGUUGUGAAAUCUCCGAGCUUAACUCAGAAAGGUCAACUGAUACUGUGCGACUAGAGUGCGGAAGGGGCAACUGGAAUUCUUGGUGUAGCGGUGAAAUGCGUAGAUAUCAAGAGGAACACCUGCGGCGAAGGCGGGUUGCUGGGCCGACACUGACGCUGAAGCGCGAAAGCCAGGGGAGCGAACGGG
RNAcentral lists this ribosomal RNA (254 nucleotides) under uncultured bacterium. RNAcentral describes it as "partial 16S ribosomal RNA". It matches the Rfam family "Bacterial small subunit ribosomal RNA", at positions 524 to 776 of the family's 1533-position model. The record is from RNAcentral.